GGAACCUGUCCUGUAAUCGAUAAUCCCCGUUAAUUUGACCUAGAUUUGUAGAUCAACUUGUAUAUCGCUGUCGUAAGAUUAUUUUUAGAGAAAUUUUUCAAUAAUAAAUUUUUAUUUAUGUCAAGUCAAGGUGCAGUAAAUGUCUAGGGGUGAGAUGGGUUACAAUAUAGGAAUAUAUAUGGAUAUAAUUUUGUAAAUGUUAUUGAAGGUGGAUUUAAUUGUAAUGUAGGAUUAAWUAUCUUAUAUGGAAAAGUACUAAUAUAUGC
This 266-nucleotide ribosomal RNA is filed under the name Parascutigera sp. QLD1. RNAcentral describes it as "partial 12S ribosomal RNA". Lineage: Eukaryota; Metazoa; Arthropoda; Chilopoda; Scutigeromorpha; Scutigeridae. The record is from RNAcentral.